Molecule: non-coding RNA, 192 nt
Organism: Oryza brachyantha (malo sina)
Lineage: Eukaryota; Viridiplantae; Streptophyta; Magnoliopsida; Poales; Poaceae
Source: Rfam
AAUAAUCUUAUUUUUCGUUUUUCCGUAUCCAACGUUUGACCAAUUCGUCUUAUUUGAAAUUUUUUUGCGAUUAAUAUUUUUAUUGUUACUAGAUGAUAAAAUAUGAAUAGUACUUUAUAUGUGACUAUUUUUUUAAGUUUUUGACAAUUUUUUUAAAUAAGAAGAAUGGUCAAAAUUUAGACACGGAAAAAC